CCCACGGUACCGCAUGGCACUAGAGGAAAAGGAUUAUUCGCUUAGGAUGGACUCGACGUCCAAUUAGCUAGUGGUGAGGUAACGGCCCGACCAAGGCGACGAUUGGUAGCCGGACUGAGAGGUUGAACGGCCACAUUGGGACUGAGACACGGCCCAGACUCCUACGGGAGGCAGCAGUGGGGGAUAUUGCACAAUGGGGAAACCCUGAUGCAGCGACGCCGCGUGGAGGAAGAAGGUUUUCGGAUUGUAAACUCCUGUCGUUAGGGACGAUAAUGACGGUACCUAACAAGAAAGCACCGGCUAACUACGUGCCAGCAGCCGCGGUAAAACGUAGGGGUGCAAGCGUUGUCCGGAAUUACUGGGUGUAAAGGGAGCGCAGGCGGGAAGACAAGUUGGAAGUGAAAACCAUGGGCUCAACCCAUGAAUUGCUUUCAAAACUGUUUUUCUUGAGUAGUGCAGAGGUAGAUGGAAUUCCCGGUGUAGCGGUGGAAUGCGUAGAUAUCGGGAGGAACACCAGUGGCGAAGGC
RNAcentral lists this ribosomal RNA (527 nucleotides) under uncultured bacterium. Its description in RNAcentral is "bacterial SSU rRNA". It matches the Rfam family "Bacterial small subunit ribosomal RNA", at positions 173 to 722 of the family's 1533-position model. The record is from RNAcentral.